Molecule: ribosomal RNA, 640 nt
Filed under: uncultured bacterium
Lineage: Bacteria
Description: bacterial SSU rRNA
Rfam family: Bacterial small subunit ribosomal RNA
Source: RNAcentral
CGGCAGGCCUAACACAUGCAAGUCGAACGGUAACAGGAAGAAGCUUGCUUCUUUGCUGACGAGUGGCGGACGGGUGAGUAAUGUCUGGGAAACUGCCUGAUGGAGGGGGAUAACUACUGGAAACGGUAGCUAAUACCGCAUAACGUCGCAAGACCAAAGAGGGGGACCUUCGGGCCUCUUGCCAUCGGAUGUGCCCAGAUGGGAUUAGCUAGUAGGUGGGGUAACGGCUCACCUAGGCGACGAUCCCUAGCUGGUCUGAGAGGAUGACCAGCCACACUGGAACUGAGACACGGUCCAGACUCCUACGGGAGGCAGCAGUGGGGAAUAUUGCACAAUGGGCGCAAGCCUGAUGCAGCCAUGCCGCGUGUAUGAAGAAGGCCUUCGGGUUGUAAAGUACUUUCAGCGGGGAGGAAGGGAGUAAAGUUAAUACCUUUGCUCAUUGACGUUACCCGCAGAAGAAGCACCGGCUAACUCCGUGCCAGCAGCCGCGGUAAUACGGAGGGUGCAAGCGUUAAUCGGAAUUACUGGGCGUAAAGCGCACGCAGGCGGUUUGUUAAGUCAGAUGUGAAAUCCCCGGGCUCAACCUGGGAACUGCAUCUGAUACUGGCAAGCUUGAGUCUCGUAGAGGGGGGUAGAAUUC